Molecule: transfer RNA, 69 nt
Filed under: Urocitellus parryii (Arctic ground squirrel)
Lineage: Eukaryota; Metazoa; Chordata; Mammalia; Rodentia; Sciuridae
Also listed under: 2 other names
Description: Spermophilus parryii (Arctic ground squirrel) tRNA
Rfam family: tRNA
About the family: Transfer RNA (tRNA) molecules are approximately 80 nucleotides in length. Their secondary structure includes four short double-helical elements and three loops (D, anti-codon, and T loops).
Source: Rfam by way of RNAcentral
GGGGCUGUAGCUCAGUGGCAGAGCGCUUGUCUAGCAUGCAUGAGGCACUGGGUUGGAUCCGCAGCACCA